Molecule: long non-coding RNA, 1000 nt
Organism: Pyrus x bretschneideri (Chinese white pear)
Lineage: Eukaryota; Viridiplantae; Streptophyta; Magnoliopsida; Rosales; Rosaceae
Exons: 5
Source: RefSeq, a predicted model, not a curated record
AAUUUCUUGUCUUCCACCUCCACUCUUCCUUUCCGAAACCCUAGUCGCAGGGUUUUGCACAAUACAAAAUCUCAGCCAUUUUCCCUCAUUUUCUCGGCACCACCGCAAAGAUGGUGAAGAAGACGGGGAGGAAGGUCAACAUUGCGAUCUAAAAAUGUUUGCAGAGUUGCUCCUAUCCCAGGGGAGACUAAAGUGUGGCAGUAUAUAACACUCACAAAGAGGAUUUUCUUGAUUGAUUGCCCUGGAGUUGUCUAUCAAAGCGGUGAUUCCCAAACAGAUAUUGUACUGAAGGGCGUGGUACGUGCCACAAAUUUGCAGGAUGCUACAGAACACAUAGGAGAAGUUUUGAAACGAGUUAAGAGGAUCCACCUGAAAAGAGCAUAUAAGAUAGAGAACUGGGAGGAUGAUAAUGACUUCCUGUGUCAGCUUUGCAAAUUGUCAGGCAAACUUUUGAAGCAAAGAUGGUCCUCCACGACUGGCAGAGGGGUGAGAUACCAUUUUUUGUGCCGCCACCAAAAAGAGAAUCGCCAACGGGGGAGCCUGAUAUAAAUCACAAUAAAGAAGACACUGGAAGAUAACAAUCAGGCUGCAGCUUAUCGAGCCAUUGGAGAUAUUAUUGCAUCUCAGAAGGUGAGCACUAUCCCCGUGCAAAGGGAUCUUUUCAGUGAAGAAGAAUUAAAGGGCGAUGAAGGACCGAAACAGCUCCCAGCCGCUGAAGUAUCUGAGAAGUCUUCAGAGUCGGACGAUGAAGUAUCUGACCACAGUGACUCCGAGGAUGACGCGGCUGAACGGUCUGAGGAUUCUGAAGACAACUGAGCUCCCAACACAUAUUUGUGUCACGGAAGGUGUUUUUGUAGUCCAUAAAUGUUAUUUUAUCUUUUCAGAUGAACCUCAUCUCGAAAACAAGUACGAGUAAUUUAUUUUGUUUGGGUUUUUUUUUCAAUUGUAAAAUCUUUUAUGAAGUGGUAUUAAAAUUAAUGUUUGUUUUGUGUUUUGCUCA